This 291-nucleotide long non-coding RNA is filed under the name Olea europaea subsp. europaea. Lineage: Eukaryota; Viridiplantae; Streptophyta; Magnoliopsida; Lamiales; Oleaceae. The record is from RNAcentral.
UCAACAUUAUGUAAUAUUGAUGAAGCUACCGCGAAGACUAUGAAAUUAGAAAUGGAGAACAAUUUGAAGAAAUGACUUUAGUUUUUUGUGUAUUGACCCCUAACCGAAUUGUUUGGGAUUCAAAAGUGAAAGAAAUCAUUUUAUAUACUAAAAGUGGUCAAAUUGGCGUAUUAUCAAAUCAUGCCCCUAUUGCUACAGCUGUAGAUAUUGAGAUUUUGAGAAUACGCUUCAAGGACCAAUGGUUAAUGAUGGCUCUGAUGGGUGGUUUUGCUAAAAUAGUAAAUAAUGAGA